CGGAUGUGCCAGCCAGGCAGAGGAAGUCCACCUUUCCUCCCCACCUAUCCCCUGAGAUUCACAGAGGCAAGGCGGAGAAAAAGCCCUUGUGCUCCUUGCUGCUUUCCCCCAACCCCUUAGUAGUGUGGACACUGAUUAACUACAGCUGGGAUCUAGCGUGCCCCGCCUGUCUUUGAAAUCGAUCAAUGAGUUCCUUCUCGAGGAAUGCUCCCCGUUAACUGUGGAGGAGGAGGUGGUGGCUGUGGUGGUCCUCUCCAACAUGGGCGUUCUGGUUCUGACUGCCUAAGAGAAGGUAUUAAAAGUGGAUAAAUAAUGUGCACUGCACUGAGCCCAAAGGUACGCAGUGGACCUGGCCUCUCUGAUAUGCAUCAGUACAGCCAAUGGCUGGCCAGCAGACAUGAAGCUAAUUUGCUACCGAUGAAAGAAGAUCUGGCUUUGUGGUUAACCAAUCUAUUAGGAAAGGAGAUUACGGCAGAAACGUUUAUGGAGAAAUUGGAUAAUGGUGCCUUGCUCUGUCAACUUGCAGAGACUGUUCAGGAGAAAUUCAAAGAGAGCAUGGAUGCUAAUAAGCCC
Long non-coding RNA from Hipposideros armiger (great roundleaf bat), 573 nucleotides. RefSeq lists it as uncharacterized. The transcript is spliced from 3 exons. Lineage: Eukaryota; Metazoa; Chordata; Mammalia; Chiroptera; Hipposideridae. The record is from RefSeq and is a predicted model, not a curated record.